CUAGAAUGAAUCUGCAACAAACCUGGACAACAUUGAACAAACAACUAUGACUAAACAAGCUACACGAAAUGAAAGUAUAAGAGGGUUUGAGUCACAAGACAAUAUCCAGAUCAUAACCCUAGAAAUAACCCGGAUAACAGAAAUGACAACAAAAUAAACCACCAAUACUCUUCCCCGACUGACCAAGAAAAGAGCGUCUCCCCAAUUACCAAGCAUGGUAUCUUAUCCACUGAAUUCUGCAUCAACAAUACUAAGAACUUCCAACGACUUUUCCAAGUAAAUCAUAUCUGCCAUGUGCGUCUUAUUUUGCACAGGGGAUGGACUUUGGCUGUUGUUUGCUGCAUAUAUAUUUGGCAUAACAAUGGUACCUACACCAAUAAGAUCCUGGAUUACCUUCUUCAGCCUCCAACACUUUUCUGUGUCGUGUCCUGGGGCAUUUGAGCAAUAUGGCGCACCUUUGGUUAAAGUAAAACUUCUUUGGGAGAGGGUUCGGUAUUUUUAUCAAAAUAGGCUUCCACACGCCUGAACUCCUUAGCCGCUGGAAUAGAUUGGUGUAUGACCCUUCUGAAGGAAUGUAGGCUUUCUUCUUCCGCAACCUCGAAUCCCUCCAUGCUUGAUUGGGCCGAAAACCUGAUCUAGAGAGUUUCUGGCAGAGUCACGGGGCGGGUGAGAC
This 673-nucleotide long non-coding RNA is filed under the name Nicotiana benthamiana. Its description in RNAcentral is "long non-coding RNA (NBEN_LNC030161)". Lineage: Eukaryota; Viridiplantae; Streptophyta; Magnoliopsida; Solanales; Solanaceae. The record is from RNAcentral.